Bos taurus (domestic cattle) is the source of this 1083-nucleotide long non-coding RNA. NCBI's taxonomy places the organism in Eukaryota, Metazoa, Chordata, Mammalia, Artiodactyla, Bovidae. The record is from Ensembl.
GCCUAGAUUAGCAUACGGGGCGGGGCUCGCUGCGCCCCGCCUUCUCUGCGGCUGCACCGCCCCGCGGGGGUUCGGUUCCGAGCGUCGCCUUCCUCUACGGUCUCCGUGUGGAGCCCGGCCGCGGGGUUCUAACGGUCCAGCCCGCAGGGACUCAGGACUGCGGUCUACCCCCGACCUCCUCACACCUUCCGGGGUGACCUGAGGGCGGAGCCUGAGUCCUGUGUCCCCGGUUGCACCGCCCCCAACCACCCCCGUCCCCUGUCGACCCCGUCUCCAGUCUCUUCCAAACCGGCCGGCCCCCGGCCUAGCAAUUCGAGAUUUCUCCCGUGGCUUCCGAGGAAAAGGAGGCCCCUACCCUGUAUCUGUGCCCUCCUUUGCAUCAGGGACCUAAACUGCUGUUUUGGAGAGGUUGUCUCUACCCCUCAGCUUGGUUGGUUUGAAACCCUGCACGACCUGUGAAGUCUUCCCCGGAUGGCUACAUCGUCUGGGGUCCCUUGUCCUGCCUGUACCCACAGCAAGCCCACGAAUCCAGGGCUUCCCUUGUUUCUGGAACAGCAACAGGAGGCCACCCUUCGGCUUGAGCCCUCCCCACCGCCCUCCACCGCCUGACUCUGACUUCUGGAAAGAGGAAUCUUCUCUGAGUGUCUCCAGCUCCUCCCCAGCCUGCUGCCCUAGCAGGUUGCUGGUGACCAAGCUGACAGUUUGUUAGGCUGUCUGAGGGGCCUGUCUGCUGCCUCAGCCUGCUGUCUGCCUCCCUGCCCCUCCACUCUCUCUAGUUCACCCCCACCUGCCCUGCUGCCCAUGGCUUUCCUCGAGUCACAAGGAGAAGCAAAGACGGGCCCAGGCGCUGAAGCCUCAGCGUCUCUGCAGGUUCUGGGUGUUUCCAGGGCUCUGCCUGCCAUGCCCUGGGUGAUCACCCAUACAUUUCCACACCUGAAGCCAUCCGGGCAAGUGUAUGCCUGAAUGCUUGCCCCAGGCCCAGCCCCCAUAACUCCAGGCACUCAGGGUCCAUAGCCCAGAGCAGGGAGCUAGCACGGCUGGGCGGGGGGAGGCUGCAUGCUGGAGCAGAAUUCAGACUAAUGA